This 335-nucleotide unclassified non-coding RNA is filed under the name soil metagenome. RNAcentral's name for it is "partial contains 5.8S ribosomal RNA, internal transcribed spacer 2, and large subunit ribosomal RNA". The stretch from base 3 to 119 matches the Rfam family "5.8S ribosomal RNA", at positions 38 to 154 of the family's 154-position model. The record is from RNAcentral.
GAGAAGAACGUAGCGAAAUGCGAUAAGUAAUGUGAAUUGCAGAAUUCAGUGAAUCAUCGAAUCUUUGAACGCACAUUGCGCCCGCCAGUAUUCUGGCGGGCAUGCCUGUUCGAGCGUCAUUUCAACCAUCAAGCCCCCGGCUUGUGUUUGGGACCUGCGGCUGCCGCAGGCCCUGAAAAGCAGUGGCGGGCUCGCUGUCACACCGAGCGUAGUAGCAUACAUCUCGCUCUGGGCGUGCUGCGGGUUCCGGCCGUUAAACCACCUUCAUAACCCAAGGUUGACCUCGGAUCAGGUAGGAAGACCCGCUGAACUUAAGCAUAUCAAUAAGCGGAGGA